UCGGGAAUAUUGCGCAAUGGAGGAAACUCUGACGCAGUGACGCCGCGUGCAGGAAGAAGGUUUUCGGAUUGUAAACUGCUUUAGACAGGGAAGAAAGAAAUGACGGUACCUGUAGAAUAAGCUCCGGCUAACUACGUGCCAGCAGCCGCGGUAAUACGUAGGGAGCAAGCGUUAUCCGGAUUUAUUGGGUGUAAAGGGUGCGUAGACGGGUAUACAAGUUAGUAGUGAAAUCCCUCGGCUUAACUGAGGAACUGCUACUAAAACUAUAUAUCUUGAGUACUGGAGGGGAAAGCGGAAUUCCUAGUGUAGCGGUGAAAUGCGUAGAUAUUAGGAAGAACACCGGUGGCGAAGGCGGCUUUCUGGACAGAAACUGACGUUGAGGCACGAAAGUGUGGGGAGCAAACAGG
Molecule: ribosomal RNA, 407 nt
Filed under: uncultured bacterium
Lineage: Bacteria
Description: bacterial SSU rRNA
Rfam family: Bacterial small subunit ribosomal RNA
Source: RNAcentral